RNAcentral lists this ribosomal RNA (425 nucleotides) under uncultured bacterium. RNAcentral's name for it is "bacterial SSU rRNA". It matches the Rfam family "Bacterial small subunit ribosomal RNA", at positions 355 to 776 of the family's 1533-position model. The record is from RNAcentral.
UAAGGAAUAUUGGACAAUGGACGGAAGUCUGAUCCAGCCAUGCCGCGUGAAGGAAGAAGGCGCUCAGCGUUGUAAACUUCUUUUGGACGGGAACAAAAUGCGCCACUUGUGGUGUACUGAGGGUACCGUCAGAAUAAGCACCGGCUAACUCCGUGCCAGCAGCCGCGGUAAUACGGAGGGUGCGAGCGUUAUCCGGAAUCACUGGGUUUAAAGGGUGCGUAGGCGGUCAGAUAAGUCAGUCGUGAAAUCGUUGGGCUUAACCUAUACAAUUGCGAUUGAUACUGUUUGACUUGAAUCAGGUUGAGGUGGGCGGAAUGUGGCAUGUAGCGGUGAAAUGCAUAGAUAUGCCAUAGAACACCGAUUGCGAAGGCAGCUUGCUGGACCUGAAUUGACGCUGAGGCACGAAAGCGUGGGGAGCAAACAGG